GGGCGGCUAGCUCAGCGGUUAGAGCACUUGCUUCACACGCAAGGGGUCACAGGUUCAAAUCCUGUGCUGCCCA
This 73-nucleotide transfer RNA is filed under the name Chloroflexota bacterium. Its description in RNAcentral is "Chloroflexi bacterium tRNA-Val". It matches the Rfam family "tRNA". Rfam says of the family: Transfer RNA (tRNA) molecules are approximately 80 nucleotides in length. Their secondary structure includes four short double-helical elements and three loops (D, anti-codon, and T loops). The record is from RNAcentral. RNAcentral also lists the same sequence under 1 other name. Lineage: Bacteria; Bacillati; Chloroflexota.